CGGAGGAUCCAAGCGUUAUCCGGAAUCAUUGGGUUUAAAGGGUCCGUAGGCGGUUUGAUAAGUCAGUGGUGAAAGCCCAUCGCUCAACGAUGGAACGGCCAUUGAUACUGUCAGACUUGAAUUACUGGGAAGUAACUAGAAUAUGUAGUGUAGCGGUGAAAUGCUUAGAUAUUACAUGGAAUACCAAUUGCGAAGGCAGGUUACUACCAGUGGAUUGACGCUGAUGGACGAAAGCGUGGGGAGCGAACAGGAUUAGAUACCCUGGUAGUCCACGCCGUAAACGAUGGAUACUAGCUGUUGGGAGCAAUCUCAGUGGCUAAGCGAAAGUGAUAAGUAUCCCACCUGGGGAGUACGUUCGCAAGAAUG
RNAcentral lists this ribosomal RNA (366 nucleotides) under uncultured organism. Its description in RNAcentral is "bacterial SSU rRNA". It matches the Rfam family "Bacterial small subunit ribosomal RNA", at positions 526 to 896 of the family's 1533-position model. The record is from RNAcentral.